AGCAGUAGGAGUAGGAGUAGGAGUAGGAGUAGGAGUAGCAGUAGGAGUAGUACUACUUGUUGCUAUUGGAAGCAAGUCGUCGAUAUGACAUCGAUCUUGUCAUCGUCAAGCCACGACUAGCACUAGUAGUCAAGGCAUGGCCGCAUGGGGACCCUUUCCCGUUCCUCUGGCCGGUGGCUCAAGGAUGGGAUAAAUGUAUGUAGUUGAAUGAAGGUAUGCACUCGGCCAACUAUGUCGGAGCCGAGGGAACGAAAUUGAAUACUCAAGAUACUAUAAGUUACGAAGCAAAAAAAAAAAAAGG
Molecule: small RNA, 301 nt
Filed under: Histoplasma ohiense
Lineage: Eukaryota; Fungi; Ascomycota; Eurotiomycetes; Onygenales; Ajellomycetaceae
Description: hypothetical lncRNA
Source: RNAcentral